Patella vulgata (common limpet) is the source of this 4410-nucleotide long non-coding RNA. RefSeq lists it as uncharacterized. The transcript is spliced from 5 exons. The record is from RefSeq and is a predicted model, not a curated record. NCBI's taxonomy places the organism in Eukaryota, Metazoa, Mollusca, Gastropoda, Patellidae.
CGCACUAUGACUUGUUAUUCAUUGAAUAGUCGGAAUUCUGACAGGCAUAACAUUCCUGAUAAACAUACGCGUAAUCGUAAAAAGCUAUAAAUUAGACCGAACAAGAUGAGUCGAACUAGAACAGCUGAUAAUUCAAACCGAGCCGUAUGGAGAAGCAAUAAGCUCGUGUGUGUAUAGUGAGUUAGCUAUUUGACUUCUAACCGUUGAUAGUAGUAUUACGUUAAGGUUGUACACAACUUACGUUGUCAGUGUUAUAUCUUUUACAAAGAUAUCAACUUUUAAACUAAAUUUCAUUCCAAUUUGUAUAUAAAGGAACAUUAUUCAACAUGUAUACGGUGAUGUCACUGGGACUUAUUUCACACGCUUUAAUAUUGCUCAUCAUAUCUGUGGUCCUGACAGAAGGUUCGUCCCUGUUACCGAGCUACGCCAAGAAAGAGUUAUGGCCAUAUUAUCAGAUAAAAUGUGAUUUGAAAUGUAUGUAUGGAUACAAGACGGAUAUGGAAGGUCAAUAUUUCUGCAAAUGUUACGACCCGUGUGAGAAUAUCUAUUGUCAUAGUAGUAGUAAAUGUGUUGUUGAUGUCCCUAAACGAACAGAUUGUGAUUGGUCGUCGUGUAAAGCAAAGGCCUUUUGUCAAGAAACGAAAACCAAGCCCAAAAAGAAAAACAGAAAAAAGUAUUUAUGGCAUUUAGACAAUACACCGCAGAGGGAUGAUGGGAGUGUUACGUCAUCUGAGAAGGGCCGCGGCGUUUGCCACAUGCCUCUUGAAGAAGAAGCUAAAAAAUGUAAAAAACUAAGGAAGCGAUGGUAUUUUGACCCGAUUUCCGGACAAUGCCGGAAAUUUCGUGGAUGCCGUACAGGUGGUAACAAUUUUGGGCGGAAAAAACGCUGCAAGAGGAAAUGCCUUAGUAAAACCAAAUUAGCAAAACGUAAGGGUCAGUCCAGAGGUCGGAAAUUAAGAAGAUUUAUAAAGUGAGCACAACGUCAUUGAUAGUGUGGUGUUACCAUAGAAACUAUAACGCUUCUGCUUGUGCGCGGAAAAAGAACUGUCUCCAUAUAAUAUAAGGCGUCUCUGCAAAUAGGGCUUUCGUGUCCAUGUUAAUGCAGACUCUAAAGGGCAUAAAACCGGGGUUCACUUACCAUGGCCACCGAGCUUUUAAAAACUCUCAACUUUUUCCCCGACAUUUGCGUUACUAGAUUCUGAGCAAAGACUGUUGAAAAUAAAACAUAAACCAUAUACCGUGACGAGGCAAAGACAAAUUCGACGAAGCGCCAUCUUGGCGUGAUGAUCUCAAUGACUUUCGUGUAAAGUAUUUUGUAUAUAGAGCAAUGCAAGAAGUGAUGACGUUAUUGUUAUGUGUGUAGAGGUGCUUUUAAAUGGUGUAAUGCGACCGGAAGUGAGUUGAGAUAUGACUCUUAGAUAUGAAGGUAGAUAUUCUAUCUAGCAUAAAACAAUGUGUACAUAGCUUUAUUUAUUGCAGACAAUAUGACGUAAGCGUGACGGUUUACAACAAAUCAUAUUAAAGAUACAUUAUGUAAGAUUUAGAUAAACAGUUGCUGGUUCUUUCUAUUUAACAGUUUAAAAACAGAUAAUGCAAAAUGAAUAUAUUGAAAAUUUCAUUCAAAUGACUUCAUUCUGAGCGAAGUUAUCUCUGUUUGUGCACUGAUUAUUUAUUAUCUUAACCGACUGGUAUAUUCGAGACUUAUUCUCGAGUCUCCAUUUUUAAAUUAAAUUAUUAAAUGGCCGAACCGUUCUAAUGUACUUAAAACCGGAGUCAUCCGAUGGCCUAGAGAGUUGAUUAUGGUCUUGCCAUGUUAAUAAAUGUCUAAUUAAUAAAUUAUAUAACAUUUAAGGCCCAAAGAAAGACCUGCAAUAGACAAAUUAAAUUUGACUCUUGAAUAAUAUAUCUUUAAAUAAAGAAUUUAUUGUGAUAGUGAAAAUUCUGUAACCAAUUUAAAAUCUCGUCGCCUGUUCACUUUCUGAAAUCCUUUAUGAAACGUUUGUUGUAAUUAUAUUUGAAAAAAACCAUAGAUUAUUCAUCUCUUCUAUUGUGUAAAUAGCUGGAACUUUAGGUCUACGUCACCACUUCUGUUGCACAUAUUAUAUAGAAUAUGAGCAUAAAAGUAUUUCACAUAAAAAUGUAUGUUGAAGAAAAUAAUGUUAUGGUAUCGUAAUGGCAUUGUGUAAAUAAACAUUGUAUAAAAUUGUCAUAUUUAAAAGGGCAUGAAUGUGUACCCAAUCUCAUCUUCUAAUAAUAUUGCAUAAUAUAAAUGAUAUAUCAAUAUAUCUUUUUUUAUAAAAUUAUGAAAUCUUUUCAGAGAUCCAUUAGCUUUUAUAAUAUUUGCUCUGGUGAAAUGACUUAAAAUCGAUUGUUCGUAAAAUCUGUUUAGUAGCAUGUACCAAAUUUGAACUCUGAUCGAGGUAUCAUUAUUUGAGUUUUAAAUUUACGAGCUAAUCGCUCUUAUUGCCUGACAAAACGAUUUAAUGUUCACUUUAGAUUUUAUCAUCCCACCGUCACCCCCGUCGUCCCAUGAGCAUCAACUCCUGUCUAAUAUUUUAAUACAAGACUAAUGAUAGUAUCUCAAGUAACUAUAAAUCAAAACAGAAUAACAGUAGGGUCGCCUGUCCAACUUCGUGGGUUUUCUCCGGGUCCUCCGGUUUCCUCCCACUGCUAAAGACCCCUGCGCGCAAGCGAAUUAUUGAAAUAAAAUUGAACCAUGUGUUAGUCCCGAAAUGACCUAGUUUGUGUCGAGUGGACGUUACCCCUCUCUCUCUCUCUCUCUCUCUCUCUCUCUCUCUCUCUCUCUCGUUAGUUAACCAACUAAAAUGUUACACCUUUUCAACUAUCCAAAUGUUUUUAUAAUAGUUAAUUAUAUCAUUCUAGAAAGCAUAUUGACCUUUCACUUUCAAGUUUUCAUUUCCGUUUUAGAACCAUUAGUCAAGGGAACAGGCACUAUCAUCCCUACUCAAUUUAGGAGUUCUAAGUGGUGUCUUUAGGCUGAUGCAAUUCAUGUUAUUAUAUAAAUAGUUUAAAAAUAUAAACCGGGUGUGGUCUCUGCACAUACUCUUGAAUUCUAUAAUCAUUACCCCUUAAAGCUGAACUCCGAUUACAAAACUACAGAAAUAAUUAAAUUAAAAAAAUUUAACACCCUAAAAAUCGCCAUACUUGUUUUCAAGCUGUAAAACAAUCAUGGCGAUUUUACGGCGUACAAAAACAGACGCAGACCACGCCCACAUCCAGUGCAUACCUUAUCAACCACACUGUCCACAUCCGGUUAGCAAUUUAAUUAUUCCUGUAGUUUUGUAAUCGGAGUUCAGCUUUAAAUGAGGUCGCAUUGAAAAUGGCAAUAUUAUGAGGUUUGUGUAAAUGGAACAGUGCAACACAAACUUCCUGUUUAUGCUAGCUUCCCACGGUAGUGCGAUGCGUUACAAUAGGAUUGUUCACGAUCUGGUACGUUCAGAUACGUUCGGAUACGUUUCAAUACGAUCAACGCGAUUGCUACGACUGACCGCAAUAUAUGAUAAGACCUGAUAGGAUCACCACGAUUAGUCCACGAUUAGUCCACGAUUAAAACCACGAUUUCAAUCGUAGCACGAAUCUUGAUAGUGGGAACCUGGCAUAAGAAAACAAAUAUUUGUCUUUCCAUUGGCCGCAUUCUUUGUCUUUAUUAAUGGUGAUCGCACAAGUCAGUUAUUAAAGCAGAAGGUUUCAGUCUCAAUCUGUUUGGACACAUAUUGUGUUAGGAAAUCGGGUACGUUUAGCGUAUCCAAGUGAGUUUUUGGCUAUGAAAAGAUUUGUUUCGAAGCAUAAUUUAUUACAAUCUGAUUAAAAUACAGAACUAUAUUUUGUUUCGUUUUUUUUAUACUUUCGAUGGCCUACACUACAUGAUGAUCGGACCGGUUGUAGCAAUAGGUCGCGUCAGAGGUAAUACGAGCGGCUUAUGACCCUAUGACGUCAGACAUUUGAUUAACCAAUCCGCAUUGAUGUCACUAGUGGAUUACCCACAGUUCCGUGCAAAACACGCCUAAAGCUCGCCGUAACAGACCGUUUCAUUGGUAAUCUCUCACAAAAUUCAGAACACGUCAAUGAUAACAACUCUUCCAGAUCCUAGAGUAGUAAAGACAAGUAAAACGAAAUUUUGAACUUUGAAAACGAAACGAAAUAGGAUCUGUGUUUUAUUCAGAUUGAAUUUAUUAUGAUUUAUGCAAUGUGUAUCCUUAACAACAGAUGGAUCCUAGCCAAUUGACUGAUUCGUCCAAUAGGUCUGUUUAACAUUGUUUGUUAGUUCAUCAUCUCGUAUAUAGUCAUAAUAAUCACUGGAAUAUUAUAGUGAGAUUCUUGUUUCAUUUUAUUUAUUUGCAUUUAUUUUUGUAUUGUUAUUGUGAGUAAGAAAUACAUGCUUUAAAACAA